This 253-nucleotide ribosomal RNA is filed under the name uncultured bacterium. Its description in RNAcentral is "partial 16S ribosomal RNA". It matches the Rfam family "Bacterial small subunit ribosomal RNA", at positions 524 to 776 of the family's 1533-position model. The record is from RNAcentral.
UACAGAGGUCUCGAGCGUUAGGCGGAAUCACUGGGCUUAAAGCGUGUGUAGGUGGUUCGUUAAGUACCCUGUGAAAUCCCAUGGCUUAACCAUGGAACUGCUUGGUAUACUGGCGGUCUUGAGCCAGCUAGGGGCUACCGGAACAAAUGGUGGAGCGGUGAAAUGCGUAGAUAUCGGAAGGAACACCGGUGGCGAAAGCGGCGCGCUGGACCUCUACUGACGCUGAGGCGCGAAAGCCAGGGGAGCAAACGGG